RNAcentral lists this transfer RNA (73 nucleotides) under Ipomoea nil (Japanese morning glory). It matches the Rfam family "tRNA". Rfam says of the family: Transfer RNA (tRNA) molecules are approximately 80 nucleotides in length. Their secondary structure includes four short double-helical elements and three loops (D, anti-codon, and T loops). The record is from Rfam by way of RNAcentral. Lineage: Eukaryota; Viridiplantae; Streptophyta; Magnoliopsida; Solanales; Convolvulaceae.
GCCUGUCUAGCUCAGUUGGUAGAGUGCAAGGCUCUUAAGCUUGUGGUUGUGGGUUCAAGCCCCACAGUGGGUA